This is a long non-coding RNA of Saccostrea cuccullata (small rock oyster), 1439 nucleotides long. RefSeq lists it as uncharacterized. Lineage: Eukaryota; Metazoa; Mollusca; Bivalvia; Ostreida; Ostreidae. The record is from RefSeq and is a predicted model, not a curated record. The transcript has 4 exons.
GAAAUGCUCAACUUACGCCCAAGAUUGACUCUAAUUCUUCACAUAAACCAUGUUCUCUUUCCCAAAAAUCUUGGUUUCGCUAGGAGUGCAGUAAAGGGAAUGUUGGAAGAAGUGUAGAUAUCAUGGCCACAGGCCAGUGGGCUAGAACCUUGAAGCCUGGCAAGGAUUAUGAGACUGGAAACUCCCAUUGAGACUACCAAAUGAAGAGAAAGUUUCAGACUGUUUAACUCGGACUAAGGGAAAAGAAGCAAAUUACAACAAGGAGAAUAUUGCUGAGAAAGCAAAGACAAGUGAAAAGUCGAGUGAAGAAAAAGCAAACAAGGCUUCACGAUCUGCAACUAGGCCACUGGCGAUGAAGAAGAAAAAUGUACAGCUAAAGAAGAUACAUUAGUGACCAACUAAAGCUGGGCAACUUAUAUUGGAUUGACAAGGUGCAGGGGGGAUAUUGAUUUGGGUCUGUUUAUCUUUCUGUUUGUCUGUAACACUUCGUUCUCUUUACAUUUCCAAAAAGCCAUCAGACAUUGCAAUGACAUUUUAUAUUAUAAAUCAUUUUGACGAUCCCACUGCAGAACAUGAUUAAUCAUCAAUACAAAUUUAAUAUUGUUUAUAAAUUAAAUAUUACCCUUAUAUAUUUUGAAGUGAAAUGGUCAGAGGUCAAGGCCUCUUUUGGGGGCACAUAUUGUUUUUGCCUGUCUGUUUAUCUGCCUAUUGCCAAUUUACCUUUUGCCAUAACUUUUGAAUCAUGAGAGAUAUAGAUACUUCAUAUUGGGUAUGCUUACUCCACUUUCAAAUGAGACCAAGACCAAUGACCUUGACUGUCAUCGUUAUGCUAAAAUAUAGCCUUAUUGAAUCUUUUAUUUUUGAACCAAAAGAGGUAGAGAUUUUAUAUUGAGUAUCCAUACUCCACUAAUUAAGUUCUUUCAAAUUACAUCAAGGUUAAUGACCUUGUGACUUUGACCUAUAUGUUUUUGGUUUUUUUUUUCAAACUUUGUUGCCACCAGGUGCAUACUGUUUUUGUUUUUUUUAGGGGGGGGGGUGUUAUGAAUUAGUUCUGUUUGGUAUCUGAAUCUUUUAUUGUACAGAAUUCUUCAGAAGUGAUGAACCCUGAGGGCCUCACCCCUACUCUCUACACUAGGUUGUUGAUUUAAAUAUUUUUUUUAUUAUUAUUAAUAUUUGUCAUUGUACAUGUAUAUCAUAAAUAUUCUAUGAGAGCUGCUUCAGAAUGUAUUAACAUAGUUUGAAAAUAAGACAAUCUGUUUCCCCCCUUGUGUGUAAAUCAUGAUGUUGAAUCAUAACUGCACUAUAAUGUUACAGCAGUAAAAUUGUAAAGAAUUUGUUGUAUCAGAUACCAUCAGCAUUUUUAAAAAAUUAUUUUAUGUAUUAUUUUUUCUGUGUGGCCAUGAAUUUUUAUAAUGCAUACAUUCAUUAAAUUUUUUUCA